RNAcentral lists this ribosomal RNA (428 nucleotides) under uncultured bacterium. RNAcentral's name for it is "partial 16S ribosomal RNA". It matches the Rfam family "Bacterial small subunit ribosomal RNA", at positions 354 to 796 of the family's 1533-position model. The record is from RNAcentral.
GUGAGGAAUUUUCCGCAAUGGGCGAAAGCGUGACGGAGCGACACCGCGUGAUGGAUGAAGUCCUUCGGGGCGUAAACAUCUUUUAUAAAGGAGGAAAUUUUUGACGUUACUUUAUGAAUAAGGGGCUCCCAAUCUCGUGCCAGCAGGAGCGGUAAUACGAGAGCCUCAAGCGUUAUCCGGAAUCAUUGGGCGUAAAGGGUGCGUAGGUGGUUUGAUUAGUCUCCCGUUAAAACUUCGAGCUUAACUCGAAAAGAGCGGGGGAAACGGUCAAACUAGAGUAUGUGAGAGGUGUGUGGAACUCAUGGUGUAGGGGUGAAAUCCGUUGAUAUCAUGGGGAACACCAAAAGCGAAGGCAGCACACUGGAACAUCACUGACACUGAGGCACGAAACCUAAGGUAGCGAAUGGGAUUAGAAACCCGGGUAGUCC